UGAGAUCAUGACCUGAGCCGAAAUCAAGAGUUGGUCGCUUAACCGACGGAGCCACCCAGGCGCCCCUCCUUUAUAAUUUAAAAAAUAGUUUUCCUACCUCUACAAAACUGAGACACUUAGAAAUUUAGAAAUAAAGGCACAUUCCACAAAGUAACAUAAGGAGAGUAAAAAUAAUUACUAGGAACUAGUGUUUUCCAACUUUGAGUCAAGAACCCCGCUCUCAUUCACAUCUAAUCUUGCAAACUCAUCGGAACUCAUUCACACCAGCUUCUGGCUGACUGGUCCCCACGUCCCACCCACGGCCUGGCCCACGGCCACCGCUGUGGACACAGCCCCUGGGUGUCUCUGAGCACCUCUCCCGAGACACCCCACUGCAGAAAGUGCUUCUGCAGCUCACACAGGCAGGAGACCCAGGGUUCGCCCCAGAUUCUCCCCUUCCCUCCACAUCCGAGCAUAGCGCAUAGCGGACUCUUCUGCCUUCACCUGGCUCCACCCCCGCCCGCCUUUUUACUGCCACACCUUGUCCACGCCUGUCUCAGCUGGACACGCCCUCAUAGGGCCUGCUCCCACCUGUGCCCUAAAUCCUUUCCAGCACAGAGUGAAAGUGCACUUCUUGAGGCAAACUGGGUCCCAUCGGUUGGGGGCCGACAGCUUUCAAUGAAAGUCCCAACAAUGGCAGCUGUCACCUGUAAGGGACCCUCUCGCCCCCUCCCCCCACUCCAGCCGUGCUACCUGCACACGCGAUGGGGCAGGGCUCCCCGCAUCCCUCUAAGAACCAGGGGGCCACAGGCCCUGGGGGCCACCCCUCGAGGUCUCCCCUGGAGUGCUACUCCUCCAAGAACCCCUGCCUGCCUGGCCUGAAGGACACCCCUCAUGGUUCUCAGUGCCUGCCAGGCCCUUCUGAUUCUUUCACUACAUUCUCAGAAUUGGUCAUCACCUCUCCCAUCUGUUCGGUUACGUUUUUUCGCCUAUCUUCUAAAACUAAAAGGUAGGCUCCACGAAGCCGGGGCCCCCGCCUGGCAGCUGGCACAAAGGGCUAGCAAACAACCGUUGAAUUGAUAACCCUUAGGUAAAUAUUACUUGUGACAACCAGAGUCACCUUCUUGACAAUUCUCCAGCUUCAGGGACAAGAGACCCCCUGCAGCUCUGCUCGGCCCAGCCUGAGGAGCCCUGGACGCCAGCCGCCCCAAGGAGACAGACCAUGAGGAACUGAGUUUUCAGCACUGGAGCAGUUCUCAAUUUAUCAUGUCCUGCAAACCACGGACUACAGCUACGGUUCCCACUUCUUAUAAACCAUUGCUCAUUUUGGAAGGACGUAUUCAGUAUCAAUUUAGAUAAGAAGACAAAAGAGAAACAAAAUCUAGACCUUACCUGCCACAUUCUCCCGCGGCUGCAAUGGCUUCCUUGGCAAGUCGCAAAGCGGUCUCCUGGCUGUACCAAAACUGGCUCAACUGCUGUAACAGAGCAAUGACUUGAAAUCAGUUGAGAACUGCCAUACAUUCCGUCCUUUUAAUUUACGUCUACCACUCCAAUGUGCAUACAUUUCAAGUGUUUUUUUCUUUUUAAAACUAACUAUUCUUUGGAAUUAUUUUAAAGUAACAGAAGGCCCUAAUUACUGGAAUCUAGGCAUUGAGCACCAGCGGCUGCUGACACCACAGAAGGAGACAACGGUCAACGUUUCUGCUGGUGGAAGAACAUACUCCCGCCUUUGUGUGACUCUUGCCCCCAAAAACUGAACCUGAGUCUGAUUAAGCCUCUAGGAUCAACUACCCACUAGCAGAACCACAAAUAGAGGAUGGAAGAACGUGUGAAAUACCACCACAGGGAUGAGAGGAGCGAAACCCAGUCCGUGGUCCUUUUCCACCGCCUCCUCUCUUUACCUUAUGAGGACUUCCCGAGUUACUUGUCUUUUCCCUUAGGGUCCACGGCAUCUCGGACUCGAUGAAAUGGGAUCACUGUACCAACCGCAGGCGGCAAUGCAGUGAGCCAUCCGUGCAGCACUUCCAUCAUUUCACAGCCUCAGAAUAAAGUCACAAAGAGAUUUAAGAGACUGAUUGAUACCCAAAUGUCUAUCAACAGACAAAUGGACAUACAAAGGAAUAUCAUUCAGACUCCAAAAGGAAGAAAAUUCUGAUACAUAGCUACAACAUGGAUGAACGUUGAGGACAUUAUGCUAAGUGAAAAAAGUCAGUAACAAAAGACAAAUACUCUAUGAUUCCACUGAUAUGAGGUACCCAGGGUCAUCACAUUCACAAAGACAGAAAGUAGAAUGGCAGUUGCCAGGGGCUAAGGGGUGGGAAGAAUAGGAAGUUGUUUAACGUGUAUAUAGUUUUAGUUUUACAAGAUGAAAAGUGUUCUAGAGAUGGACGGUGGCAAUGGUUGUGCAACAGUGUGAAUUAUUAACACUACUGAACUGUACACUUAAAAAUGGUUAAGAUGGUAAAUUUGAUGUUACGUGUAUAUUACCACAAUAAAAAUAUUGGGGGAAAAUGUCAUUAGAGUGGAUAUCAACGGACUGUUAAGCAAGGUAAUUAGAUUGUUGUCAUGGCUCUGUUGUCUCGUUUCCCUGAAGAAGUCAUAUUUAAGCUAGGAUCUAAAGAAGAAGUUCUCCCAUUGGCAAAGAAAGGAGAAAGAGCAUUCAAGGUAGAAGAAACAGCAUCUGCAUCAAGUGGUUGGUAAGAGAACUGAUGCGUUACACAGUUUGAAGUAAAUUAGGCGUAAUUUCAAAAGAAUGGCCUACUAAUUCAGCAAUAAAACAAUGUCUGCAAUGUACUGUUAAUUUGAAUUUUGUUGUUUUAGUUUUGUUUAUACUGAAUUUGAGAAUGUGUUAAAUUCUGUAGUUGUGGAAGAAUCAAAAGCAGGAUGAAUUAUUUACCUCUGAGGUUUUAAUUUAGAAUAAAAAUAACUUAAAUCAA
Molecule: long non-coding RNA, 2915 nt
Organism: Felis catus (domestic cat)
Lineage: Eukaryota; Metazoa; Chordata; Mammalia; Carnivora; Felidae
Exons: 4
Source: RefSeq, a predicted model, not a curated record